AUUCCUCCUUGGUGGAGUUUUCCCCAGUGACCCUAGAACCUUCUGGUACAGUGCAGCAUCACAUGCUCCAUGCAGUUAUAUUCAGCUAGUGGGAAGGCUGUCAUCCAAUAUGUUGAUGGUACUGUGUUGUCUAUCAUAUUUCAAACAUCUGAAACUACAAAACUAAAGAACAGAAUGUCUUCGUUUCCCCAUUUAUCAUUUCUGCUCCCAUAGGAUCUGUCAUUGCAGAAUUCAUUUUCAAAGUGAGGGAUCAUAUGGUGACAACAGAAGAGGAAGUUGCCAAAAAUGCUUUCUGAGUGGGUAAUAAAUCAAUGUAUUAAACAUCAGCUGAGGUAAUACUGAAGGCAAAAGGCUCAAUGGACAUUUGCCAUAAAAACAACAACAAAAAAUAGUUCAGGAAACUAUAGAUAUAUGAAUCUGCAGGGAUUUUCACUUUCAUACUGCUGUCUUGCACUCCCACUGAAACUCCUUUCUUUCAUUCAAUUUAGUAAUAAUGAAAAAGGAGGUCAGCUCCCUGUUUAAGUAAACAAGCAGAUGGAAACAACACCAACAUCACUUGGAGGCUUGGGCAGGGAACUUAGGCAGAUGUCAGUACUUCCCAAUUCUUUUCCAC
This is a long non-coding RNA of Gallus gallus (chicken), 613 nucleotides long. Lineage: Eukaryota; Metazoa; Chordata; Aves; Galliformes; Phasianidae. The record is from Ensembl.